GAAAUUUAUAAUCAAACCUAAUUAGUUAAGUACAUAUAUAAUUAAAAUCAAUAAAGCUGAUUGAUUUAAAUAUUGGCAAAUAACCAUCAUGGCGAGAGAAACAGUUCGUGACAACCUUCUCACGGCGGAAGAGGUAGAUCAUUUGGAACGUAGCACUAAAAAGAUUAAGGCAGCAAUCAGAGAUGCUCUUGGGAGUUGGAGGAUCGGUUCUCGAUCCUUUAAAGAUUCACUGUUGGAGUCAAAAGUUUUCACUGGUUUUUGUCGUACUUCUUUUGCGGUGGAUGAGGAUGAUCAAGACUCGGAUAAGGAGAGUCGAGAAAAUCUGAAUGGAGUGGAAACUCUUCCUACAAUACGUAUUAGUAAAAAUCUUUAGAAGGAACUGCGCAGGCCCUGGCGUCAAGCACUUAUUACCGAAUUACUCGGUAAAACAAUUUCCUUCAACUCACUAUUGGAAUAAGUUUCAGUUCUUUGGCGUUUGGAUGGGAUUUUGAUUUCAUCGAAUUGGGUUAUGGAUUUUAUGCGGUCAAGUUUGAGAAACAGGAGGACAGAUUCAAGGUGAUGAUUGAGGGCCGGUGGAAAACUAUGGACCAUUAUUUGACGGUUAAAAAAUGGAAGCCAAACUUUCAUCCCGAAACAGCAGUUGUGUGGUCAACAGUGAUUUGGAUUUAUCUCCCUGGUUUACCUUUGGAGUAUUUCCAUGAAUCGGCUCUGAUUGAUGUAGGAAAGCUUGUGGGGAAACCAAUCAAGGUUGAUUCGAAUACAUCUUUGGCGACUCGAGGCAAGUUCGCUAGAAUAUGUGUGGAGGUUGAUUUGUCAAAACCUUUGUUGUCGCAAGUACGUAUUGGUAACUUUGCUCAAAACAUCGAAUAUGAGGGUCUCCGUACUGUCUACUUUUCUUGUGGUUGUUUUGGUCACCGUUUGGAAUCCUUUCUCUCAUCAAGCGGCACAAAAGGAGCAGGUGUAGCCGGAGGCUGUGGCCACGACGGCGGAACCCAUGGUAACGGAAAAUUUGGUCGACGCUGAUGGUCCAAAACGUGAUGGGCCGUGGAUGUUGGUUAAAAGAAACCCGAGUGAAGGCAAGAAACACUAGCAACAAGAAUUUAGGGAUGGGGCGUAUUUCCAGGGAUUCUAAUAAAUUUGAGAUUCUCAUGGAGAUUGAAGCUCUUAAGGAUAUCCGAAUUGGGUCAGAGAAUAUCAUGGCCGCUAUUAAUGUGGGGACGGGGAAGAAAAAUAAUGGGUCGAGAGCUAGGCCUUACAGAGUGAGAGAAUGAAGGCCUCAGCAUGGGCGGAUUACUUUACAAGAAUGGUUGGACAGAGUUUUGAUCAAUCCGGAAGCUCUGUAUUAUUUUCCAGAGAUGAGUGUGCUUAAUAUUAUAUGCCACGGUUAUAUUUUGAUCGCCACCCAAUUCUUCUUAAUACUUUGGGUCGUUAUGUCCUUUCCAAGAGACUUGCGGCCUUUUUUAGAUAGAAAGCUGCCCGGCUUACCAGUAUGGACUUUAAGGAAAUCUUCACGAGAGAGUGGAUGGAAAACUCGAGCAGUGUUGCACAUGCCAUUGAAACUGUCACUAGGGCUAUUAAGGAGUGGAAGUCCUCUUUUGGUAAUAUUUUUGGUGAGGAAACAGUCAUUGAUCAAAAGGUCGCAGGGUAUUCAAAAUUCACUUCUGUUGUAUAUUUUCUUCUUAUUUGCAUCAAUUAGAAGCAACUCUUAAUACUGAAUAUCAGACCAUUUUGACGCAAGAAGAAUUAUUGUCUUCAGAAAUCUCUUUUAGACUGGAUUUCUAAGGGUGAAUGGGACACUCGAUUUUUUCACCUUACAACGUUGAUGUGACGAAGCCGAAAUAAGGUGUCGGGUUUAUUCAUUGAUGAUUCUUGGGUAACUAACCAAAGAACUAUGAUGGAACAUGUGGUAAAUUACUCUGAUCAACUCUUUGCUAGGAAGCAGGUAUCCUCGUUACCUCGUGUUUUUCUGAUUUUCAAUUCAACCCUCACUUGGUUUCGAUAGAAGAGGUUUGUAAUAGCCUUUUUUCCAUUAAAAGAUUGAAAGCUCAGGGUCCGGAUGAUAUUCAACCAAUCUUUUAUCAAAAGCAUUGGGAUUCGGUGAAAGAUUCAAUAUUUGAAUUUGUCAAGGGGGCAUGGAAUGCUGGUACUUUGUUUUCAUUCCUAAAGUAGCAGCAAUAGAUAGAAUCUCUUUGUUCCGGCCUAUAAGCCUCUGCAAUACUUCCUAUAAAGUUUCAUCUAAAACGGUUGUCAAUCGUCUCCGUCCAGUAUUACAACGUCUCAUUGGGCCUUUCCAAAGCAACUUUCUUGCUGGAAGGAGCACACCUGAUAAUCUUUUGGUGACACAGGAAGUGGUUCAUUCGAUGAUGAAUAUGAGAGGAAUUUAGGGGGCGAGGAUUCUGAAGGUUGAUUUGCAAAAAGCUUAUGAUAACGUCGACUGGAGCUUCCUCAAGUUUGUCUUGAUUGAAUUUGGUUUACCGCACCGUCUUAUUGAUUUGAUCAUGUUUUGUGUGCAAGCUAGUAAAAUCACCCCGAUUUGGAAUGGCCAAGUGACAGGACGACCCACUGUCACCAUAUCUCUUCAUUAUGGUGAUGGAAAAGUUGUCACACAUGAUAUUGGAUAGAGUCAGAAGAGGUAGUUGGGUGCCUUUUAAAGUCUCUAGACGGGGUCCCCAAAUCUCACACAUUUUUUUUCCGCUGAGGAUUUAUUGCUUUUUGCCAAAGCUAGUGUGAACCAGUUGAGCAUCAUCCAAGGCUGCCUACAUGAAUUCAGUGCCGCGUCUGGAUUAUCUAUAAACUUCUCCAAGUCUAAACUGUUUGUUUCCCCUAAUUACAGCAUGUUGCAGCUCUCUCAUGGAGGGCUACUUGUGGUAUUCCGCUUGCUAAUGAUUUAUGAAAGUGUCUAGGUGUACCGAUUAUUCAUGCUUGUGUAACGAAAGAGACUUACACGCAUAUUCACAAGACGUCGGCUGUAAACAGGAGUUUCCAAAUAGAGCAGUAUUUUUGAUGUGUAGGACUAAAUUGGAGGAGUGAAAGGAACUUCAAACGAAGUCUCGAGGCCAAACCAAGUGCCUUAGCUUCGAAGUUAAUGCCCAGCGCGCGACUACAAGAUGUUACGUCACCGCCCUGGCGCCACAAACUUUGAAACUCGACCUCUAUUUAGCGCCCUAGUGCUGACGAAAACCUUCCUAGCUCGAAUUUUUCGUGUUUUUGGUGGAGUGAACAGCCCUAACUCUCAUGUUAAGGGUAUUUUGAUAUUUUAAAAAUUUAUAUUUGAUACCGUUUUACUCGCUUUAGUUGGUUUUCUAUUCUUCUUUGAAAUCAAGCGCAAUAAAAGAACAGUUUCGAAAGUAGAUUAAGGGAGCACUUCAAACAUUGGGUGAGACCAUUUUAAUAUAUUAUGUGAUUAUUUUCUCAUUAAUUUCUCGUUGUUGUUGGACUUAUUUGUUGAAAACAUGGACAAAAGAGAUAAGUACGACUGUGAACUAAA
Gossypium raimondii (Peruvian cotton) is the source of this 3487-nucleotide long non-coding RNA. RefSeq lists it as uncharacterized. The transcript is spliced from 2 exons. The record is from RefSeq and is a predicted model, not a curated record. Lineage: Eukaryota; Viridiplantae; Streptophyta; Magnoliopsida; Malvales; Malvaceae.